ACCCACACACACACACACACACACACACACACACACACACACACACACACACACACACACACACACACACACACACACACACACACACACACGUGUGAGAACAUGAAGGUGGUGUAGUGAUGAAGGUGGUGUAGUGAUGCAGGUGGUGUAGUGAUGAAGGUGGUGUAGUGAUGCAGGUGGUGUAGUGAUGAAGGUGGUGUAGUGAUGAAGGUAGUGUAGUGAUGAAGGUGGUGUAGUGAUGAAGGUGGUGUAGUGAUGAAGGUGGUGUAGUGAUGAAGGUGGUGUAGUGAUGAAGGUGGUGUAGUGAUGAAGGUGGUGUAGUGAUGCAGGUGGUGUAGUGAUGAAGGUGGUGUAGUGAUGAAGGUGUUGUAGUGAUGCAGGUGGUGUAGUGAUGAAGGUGGUGUAGUGAUGCAGGUGGUGUAGUGAUGAAGGUGGUGUAGUGAUGAAGGUGGUGUAGUGAUGAAGGUGGUGUAGUGAUGAAGGUGGUGUAGUGAUGAAGGUGGUGUAGUGAUGAAGGUGGUGUAGUGAUGCAGGUGGUGUAGUGAUGCAGGUGGUGUAGUGAUGAAGGUGGUGUAGUGAUGAAGGUGGUGUAGUGAUGCAGGUGGUGUAGUGAUGCAGGUGGUGUAGUGAUGAAGGUGGUGUAGUGAUGCAGGUGGUGUAGUGAUGAAGGUGGUGACGUGAUGAAGGUGGUGUAGUGAUGAAGGUGGUGUAGUGAUGAAGUUGGUGUAGUGAUGAAGGUGGUGUAGU
Oncorhynchus keta (chum salmon) is the source of this 747-nucleotide long non-coding RNA. RefSeq lists it as uncharacterized. The record is from RefSeq and is a predicted model, not a curated record. Lineage: Eukaryota; Metazoa; Chordata; Actinopteri; Salmoniformes; Salmonidae. The transcript has 3 exons.